CCUACGGGAGGCAGCAGUAGGGAAUAUUGCUCAAUGGGGGAAACCCUGAAGCAGCAACGCCGCGUGGAGGAUGAAGGUUUUAGGAUUGUUAACUCCUUUUGUGAGAGAAGAUAAUGACGGUAUCUCACGAAUAAGCACCGGCUAACUCCGUGCCAGCAGCCGCGGUAAUACGGAGGGUUCACGCGGUACUCGGAAUCACUGGGGGGAAAGAGUGCGGCGGCGGGCUUGUAAGGCAGGUGGGAAAUCCUGUGGCUUAACUACAGAACUGCAGUUGAAACUAUGGGUCUAGAGUGUGGGGGGGGUAGGUGGAAUUCUUGGUGUAGGGGUAAAAUCCGUAGAUAUCAAGCGGAAUACUCAUUGCGAAGGCGACCUACUGGAACAUAACUGACGCUCAUGCACGAAAGCGUGGGGAGCAAACAGGAUUAGAUACCCGGGUAGUC
RNAcentral lists this ribosomal RNA (440 nucleotides) under uncultured bacterium. Its description in RNAcentral is "partial 16S ribosomal RNA". It matches the Rfam family "Bacterial small subunit ribosomal RNA", at positions 338 to 795 of the family's 1533-position model. The record is from RNAcentral.